This 368-nucleotide ribosomal RNA is filed under the name uncultured organism. Its description in RNAcentral is "bacterial SSU rRNA". It matches the Rfam family "Bacterial small subunit ribosomal RNA", at positions 526 to 896 of the family's 1533-position model. The record is from RNAcentral.
CGGAGGAUCCAAGCGUUAUCCGGAUUUAUUGGGUUUAAAGGGUGCGUAGGCGGUUCUUUAAGUCAGGGGUGAAAGACGGUAGCUUAACUAUCGCAGUGCCUUUGAUACUGAAGAACUUGAAUACACUUGAGGUAGGCGGAAUGUGACAAGUAGCGGUGAAAUGCAUAGAUAUGUCACAGAACACCAAUUGCGAAGGCAGCUUACUAAAGUGUCAUUGACGCUGAGGCACGAAAGCGUGGGGAUCAAACAGGAUUAGAUACCCUGGUAGUCCACGCCCUAAACGAUGAAUACUCGAUGUUGGCGAUAUACGGUCAGCGUCUAAGCGAAAGCGUUAAGUAUUCCACCUGGGGAGUACGCCCGCAAGGGUG